AGACUGUUAAUUUUAGAGCACAGUUGUUUAAUAUUAUUAAGUUUCUUAAAAGAAUCUUUUGUGCUUCUAUGUCACCUAGAGCUUGGCAGUCAUCUGCUGUGAAUUGCCCAGUGGAAAAGGAAGUUUUGCCUACAAAAUUGUCUUGCAAAGCCCCUCAGUUUUCUGAUUGUACUGUCUAUCUACAGCUGAGACUAUUAAGGUAUAUGAGAGAUCUGUUGCAAGGAUUUUAGAAACUUCAUUGACGUCAAGAAUAUAGAGGUACCCAGAAGCUACUCUUGUAGUUGGCUGCCAUCUAUCCAUCUUUGCUAUUAUAUAUCCAGUAUUCCUAGCCUCACAGUAUACUAUCUGAUGGUUUUCAAUUUUUUUUAUUUUUUUUAAUAGUUAUGCCCAGCGAUUGAAAGACUUUUAUAACAAAUAAAAUAAAUGAGACUUGUUUGAUAUAUGAGUAUGCACCCUCAUGAAACAGAACCCCAUACUCUAGUGGUAUGAAUCUAAUGCAAUUUCCAAAAAAAUAUUUCCAAUAUUGUCUCUAAUACUCUAAUACUCUCAUUGUGGGACGAUAAGUAGGAAAAGACUGAGUGAUUCUAGAUUUUUUUUUUUUAAUAAAAUGAUUUUUAAUGUAUUAAUUAAGCAAAUAUAUUUUGCAUUCACUUCAGACUAAGAUGGAGGCCACCUCAUAGAUCAAGGUUGUAGCAAGAAAAAUGUCACCCCAUAAAACCUUAAGAACCUUCCAGAAAGUGGAACCCUUAAACUGAUGUAAAAAACCUGCAGAGUUAUAAAAGUAAAGCUCAUAAGGCACAGUAAAUUAUUCCUAACAGUGGCAAGACACAAACAGAACAGUUAAAGCAAUUUAUGAUACAAUUGCCUCUAAAAGAACAAGCAAAGACAAACAAAAAAAUCUGAAAUUGGAAAUUUGGAUCUGCUCUAAUAAAAACAUUAAACAAUGACCUCCUCCACUGAGAAACCACAUGAACUUUAGGAAAAAGACUAGAUUUUAAAAUAUCAUUUUCCAAAUACCUAUGAUUUUAUUCCUUAAUAGUGUUGUAAGUCAGGCAUGAAACAGAACAAAUUACAUUACCAGGAAAACACAACAGACUAUUAAAAGGACAGUAGCUCCACUUUGUAAAGGACAUUUCAGCAGUUGCUGGUACUGCUUGAACUCCAGCUGACUUUGCUGGAGGAGCAAAGCUUUUAUGCUUAGUUCUGAUUCUGUUACUAGAAGGAGAUGGUAGUUGAAGCAAUCCCAGUGCUUAGCCAGCCAGAAGAACAUUUUCUAUUCCCUCAAGCCCUAUAUUUUAUGUAUGAUCCGAUGAAGACUUUUUUGACUUUUUUGUGUCUUCCACCUUUAGCUUUAUAUGUGCAUUUAUGAAUUACAGUUUCUGAAAGGAUAGAAUCAUACUGCCAUGCUAUUGCCUUAACCCAGUUAUUUUUGUUGAUCAUACUAAUCUUUUGCU
RNAcentral lists this long non-coding RNA (1454 nucleotides) under Anas zonorhyncha (Eastern spot-billed duck). RNAcentral's name for it is "lncRNA (ENSAZOG00000010190.1)". Lineage: Eukaryota; Metazoa; Chordata; Aves; Anseriformes; Anatidae. The record is from RNAcentral.